GAUGAACGCUAGCGGCAGGCUUAACACAUGCAAGUCGAGGGGUAACAGCAGAGCUUGCUUUGGCUGACGACCGGCGCACGGGUGCGUAACGCGUAUACAAUUUGCCUUAUACUGGAGGAUAGCCCUAAGAAAUUGGGAUUAAUACUCCAUAACAUUGCGAGGUCGCAUGGCCAUGCAAUUAAAGCUUCGGUGGUAUAAGAUGAGUAUGCGUCCUAUUAGUUAGUUGGUAAGGUAACGGCUUACCAAGACUACGAUAGGUAGGGGGCCUGAGAGGGUUAUCCCCCACACUGGUACUGAGACACGGACCAG
This 309-nucleotide ribosomal RNA is filed under the name uncultured bacterium. RNAcentral describes it as "bacterial SSU rRNA". It matches the Rfam family "Bacterial small subunit ribosomal RNA", at positions 28 to 334 of the family's 1533-position model. The record is from RNAcentral.